UAGGGAAUUUUCGUCAAUGGGCGCAAGCCUGAACGAGCGAUGCCGCGUGAGUGAAGAAGGCCUUCGCGUCGUAAAGCUCUGUUGCGGGGGAAAAAAGGCAGCAUCAGGAAAUGGGUGCUGACUGAUGGUGCCCCGCCAGAAAGUCACGGCUAACUACGUGCC
RNAcentral lists this ribosomal RNA (162 nucleotides) under uncultured bacterium. RNAcentral describes it as "partial 16S ribosomal RNA". It matches the Rfam family "Bacterial small subunit ribosomal RNA", at positions 355 to 509 of the family's 1533-position model. The record is from RNAcentral.